RNAcentral lists this ribosomal RNA (253 nucleotides) under uncultured bacterium. RNAcentral's name for it is "partial 16S ribosomal RNA". It matches the Rfam family "Bacterial small subunit ribosomal RNA", at positions 524 to 776 of the family's 1533-position model. The record is from RNAcentral.
UACAGGGGGGGCAAGCGUUGUUCGGAAUUACUGGGCGUAAAGGGCUCGUAGGUGGCCAACUAAGUCAGACGUGAAAUCCCUCAGCUUAACUGGGGAACUGCGUCUGAUACUGGAUGGCUUGAGUUUGGGAGAGGGAUGCGGAAUUCCAGGUGUAGCGGUGAAAUGCGUAGAUAUCUGGAGGAACACCGGUGGCGAAGGCGGCAUCCUGGACCGGUAUUGACGCUGAGGAGCGAAAGCCAGGGGAGCAAACGGG